GUAGGUGGCAAGCGUUGUCCGGAAUUAUUGGGCGUAAAGCGCGCGCAGGUGGUUCUUUAAGUAUGAUGUGAAAGCCCCCGGGCUCAACCGGGGAGGGUCAUUGGAAACUGGGGAACUUGAGUGCAGGAGAGGAAAGUGGAAUUCCACGUGUAGCGGUGAAAUGCGUAGAUAUGUGGAGGAACACCAGUGGCGAAGGCGACUUUCUGGCCUGUAACUGACACUGAGGCGCGAAAGCGUGGGGAGCAAACAGGAUUAGAUACCCUGGUAGUCCACGCCGUAAACGAUGAGUGCUAAGUGUUGGGGGGUUUCCGCCCCUCAGUGCUGCAGCUAACGCAUUAAGCACUCCGCCUGGGGAGUACGGUCGCAAAGACUG
This 373-nucleotide ribosomal RNA is filed under the name uncultured organism. RNAcentral's name for it is "partial 16S ribosomal RNA". It matches the Rfam family "Bacterial small subunit ribosomal RNA", at positions 527 to 896 of the family's 1533-position model. The record is from RNAcentral.